AUGGCCGGUGGUUUGGAAUGGAACGUUGCCGCGGUAAUAACCAUAGUUGGCUGGUUGGUGUCGCCCAUCAUCACGCUGAUCCUGCCCAAGAUCUUUGCCUGCCUCGGCUUUGACGCGGAGCAGAAGCUCAGGGAGCUCAAGAUCCGCAUCAUCCCGGAGCUGGAGAACACGCUGCGUGAUGUAGAUCAGGUGAGGAUGAUGCAGAGGGGAGAAGUACCCCACCACGUCUCCAGGCUUGACGAGAUGGCUGGAUGGCUGAGGCACGCACAGUACGAUGUGGAUGUCAUCUUCGACGAUGCUCAUGACAUCAAGUCGCGUCGCCUCACCGGCGCUUUGGAGACCUGCGUUGCUCGUUGCUUGGGGGUUAUUCCGUGCAUCGUCUGGAAGGGAUCGGCUCUGCUAAUGGGGUGGCUGAUGCACAUCUCCUUGUGUCGGUGGUUCCGAUGCAGGUCAGAAGAGGAGCCCGCUCCUGUGACUGUCAGCGUUGAGGCCUCAGGCGAGCCCGUGACCAUCGAUAUUGCGUCCUCCAAUGAUGAAGAUGAAGAUGAACUCGAUCCAGUAGCUGCCCGUGCUGCGGCCUUUGAUGAUGAGCACGUUCCGGUGACUAGCGGUGUUGAGGCACUCGGCGAGCCUAAUCCAGUGACUUGUGAUACUGUGGUCUCCGCCGCUGCGCCGUCCGAUCAUGUGGUUGUUCCGGCGACUUUUGGUGGUGCAGCCUCUGACGAGCCUCUUCCGGUGGAUGCAUCCUCUGGCCGGUGGCUCUCUUGCUUGUGCAGCUCUAUCGACUCAUCGAAGAACUGUUGUAGGUUCAUAGUCAACUGGCUAGUUCAUGCGAUUGAUGUUGCCCGCUUUUAUCGAGACUGGUCCUAUGAGGCAGUUGGCAUCAAAAGUAAGCAGAGGAUGCCACUGCGUUUGAUUUUAUCCUUACUGCAAUCUCAAAAUGGAAUUUGA
This 951-nucleotide ribosomal RNA is filed under the name Triticum aestivum (bread wheat). Its description in RNAcentral is "partial small subunit ribosomal RNA". The record is from RNAcentral. Lineage: Eukaryota; Viridiplantae; Streptophyta; Magnoliopsida; Poales; Poaceae.